RNAcentral lists this ribosomal RNA (480 nucleotides) under uncultured bacterium. Its description in RNAcentral is "partial 16S ribosomal RNA". It matches the Rfam family "Bacterial small subunit ribosomal RNA", at positions 28 to 523 of the family's 1533-position model. The record is from RNAcentral.
GACGAGCGCUGGCGGCGUGCUUAACACAUGCAAGUCGAACGGAAAGUGCUCUUCGGAGUGACUCGAGUGGCGAACGGGUGAGUAACACGUGGGUGAUCUGCCCUGCACUUUGGGAUAAGCCUGGGAAACUGGGUCUAAUACCGAAUAGGACCAUGGCCUUCAUGGGUUGUGGUGGAAAGCUUUUGCGGUGUGGGAUGGGCCCGCGGCCUAUCAGCUUGUUGGUGGGGUAAUGGCCUACCAAGGCGACGACGGGUAGCCGGCCUGAGAGGGUGAACGGCCACACUGGGACUGAGAUACGGCCCAGACUCCUACGGGAGGCAGCAGUGGGGAAUAUUGCACAAUGGGCGCAAGCCUGAUGCAGCGACGCCGCGUGAGGGAUGACGGCCUUCGGGUUGUAAACCUCUUUCAGUAGGGACGAAGCGCAAGUGACGGUACCUAUAGAAGAAGGACCGGCCAACUACGUGCCAGCCGCCGCAGUAA